ACGGGUGAGUAAUGUCUGGGAAACUGCCUGAUGGAGGGGGAUAACUACUGGAAACGGUAGCUAAUACCGCAUAACGUCGCAAGACCAAAGAGGGGGACCUUCGGGCCUCUUGCCAUCGGAUGUGCCCAGAUGGGAUUAGCUAGUAGGUGGGGUAACGGCUCACCUAGGCGACGAUCCCUAGCUGGUCUGAGAGGAUGACCAGCCACACUGGGACUGAGACACGGUCCAG
This 229-nucleotide ribosomal RNA is filed under the name uncultured bacterium. Its description in RNAcentral is "partial 16S ribosomal RNA". It matches the Rfam family "Bacterial small subunit ribosomal RNA", at positions 102 to 334 of the family's 1533-position model. The record is from RNAcentral.